CUUAUCUAGAUUUUUCUCCUGAGCCUCAGGAAUGGGUAGCUCGUGGCCUAUGGAGAAGACCCACUGGGGGUUCCUAAGGCAUGUUAGCCUCAGUGUGAGCAAAACCGAAGGCACCCUCCUCUCUUCCAUACCUACGUAUGUUCCCAUGAGCUCCAGCACCUGCCUUGUUGACCUGGGAGGGUCUGUACUCCACUCCCUGCCCCCCCAACCCCGCCCAUGCCCCUGCUUUUGUUUAUACAGAGUGAUCAGACUAAGGAUUUGGCCUCCCCUGUACCCCUCUUUCAUCCUGCCUGCCGGCCUUCAACCAGCCCUCAUCAGUUCUCUGUCAGAUUUUGUUAGCAUCUCCAUCUUGGCCUCGCAGCUGGAGACAGAUGGAAAGGUGGAUACGUUUUAGGGUGAUUUGUUGCACUGCAAUGGAGAACCAAUACAAAGGCCUAGGCACCUUGGACCUCACCCCACAUACCAGAGCGAGGCUUGAGAGUCAACUAUUCCAGCAUCAUUUGCAGGUCAGAAUAAGACUUCUGGUAAGCUGCUCACUUGGGAUCAACUGAGGAUAUGGUCAGCCUUCAGCUCAAAGAUCCUCAGAGCAUACAGCUGGAAGGGAUGGGGCAAUAUGAGUGUGUGUGUGUGUGUGUGUGUGUGUACACAUGUGGAGUGUAUAUAUGUAUAUGUGUGAAUCAGGGUUGUUUCCUUGCUUCCUUGUGCCAUCUAUAAGGGGAAAAGACCAGUUUGCUCUACCUUCUGCCUCCAGAGUUGACUAUGAGCCCUACUUUAUUUAUGAUACUUCCUCAGAAGGUUUUUUUUUUGUAGAGUUAACAUUUAACAUUAUAUAAAUUUCAGGUAUGUGUUUUUCAAACUAGAUUUUACUUUUUUAAAAAAUAUGUUAUUUAUUUGAGAGACAGAGACAGAGACAGAGAGUGGACACAGGCAGGGAGAGGGAGAAGCAUACCCCUCCCCGAACAAGGAGCAGGACAUGGGGCUCAAUCCCAGGACCCCGAGAUCAUGACCUGAGCCGAAAGCAGAUGCGUAACAGACUGAGCCACCCAAGUGCCCCUUAAACUAUAUUUUACUUUUUAAGAGCAGUUUUAAUUUCACAGAAAAAGUGAGUGGAAGGUACAGAGAUUUCUUACAUAUACUCCCUGCCCUUACAUACGCGCAACCUGGGCAUUAUCAACAUCCCCCACCGGAGUGAGACGUGUUACAACCGGGGAACUUCCAUAAACAAGUCAUAAUCACCCAAAGCCCAUAGUUUACAUUAGGGUUUUCUCUUGAUGUUAUACGUUCUGUGGGUUUGAACAGAUGCGUAAUGACUUAUAUCCACCAUGCAGAGUAGUUUCCCUGCCCUAAGAAUCCUCUGUGCUCUGCUCGUUCAUCUCUCCCUCCUGGACACAGGCUUUAUUUUCCAUGCCAUACCUUCUUCACUGAAUCUGUACCAUGUGCGGGUAUUGCUUUUGUGCUUCAUUUGUUACUUAUGUAGAGUAGUGAUUGGCAGUAAGGAAGUGGAGAAAAACAGUGCAGACUAACCUCUAAAGAACUUCGGCAGAAGGGAAGUGACAAUAGGGCGAUAGUUUAAGGAAAUAGCAGGGUUGAGAAAAGUCUUUAGUAUGAGGGAGCCUUGAGGACAUUUUUAAAAUUUGUUUUUGCAGAGAAAGCAAGCAGUUGAAGGGGGGAAAUAUAAGUGAAAAAGAGGGUGGCUGAUGGAGCAAGGUCACAGACUAGAACUGAGGGCAGGGGACAGAGGGCAGGCAGUGGGGUUGACCUUGGGGAGAAGGAGGGGCACAUCUUCAGGAUGAAUGCCUGGGUGGUAGGGACAGACGUGGGGGGUGCUUCCGGGCAAGCCCAGGAGGCACAGUGAGAGCCCGAGGGACAGGGGACUCUAGACUCUGACACGUGGCUGAAACAGCCAGGCAUGGGCUCCAGGCUGGAGAGGAGGCAGGGGUAGGCAGGAGAAGAUCACAAAAGAGCGGAAUGGGAUGAAUUGAGGGCCAAAUGAAGAUGAGAAUCUAGUUCAGUAGCAGGGAUUUAAAACAUUAAAAAAAAAAAAAAAGUUAUGCUCAAUGACAGGAAAUUCAGGCUCCUAGGCAAACAGUUGGUGGAUAGUUGACUCUGUGACCAAAUAGGAGCAGCUGAAACAAAAUAAUAAAGUUAAAAGCCAUUUCAAGCCUUUCUUGGGAAACACAACUUUACUUUGGCUGUACUGACCCUACAACUAACUGAGGUCCGAGGUCUGUUUGCCCGGGGAGGCCGGACUAGAGGAAAGCAAACCGCCUAGGUCAAGGAGUUACCAGUGCAUCCAAACCUUAAAUUCCUGAUCUCAGAUUAUCAAUUAAUUGUACAGCACCUGCCUUCUAUGGAAGUAGAGGCUACGUCCAGGUGCAACCGGUUGCAAAAACCAUUCCUUCCACCUGAGAUGAGAUGCUGACAGGCAGUGAAUCACAGGGACAGAGCACCUGCGGGGGAAAGGACAGCUGGGCCCACCCGGAGGCACAGGCGUGUGGAGCUGCCACUGGGAGUGACUGGCCCGGAGGUGCUUGAGAUAAACCUGAAAGGAGCUGAAGCUGGAAAAUAAAGAUCUGAGCUGACAGGAACUAUAGAGCAAAAUCUCCAGGUAAAUCAAGUGGAAACAGCUGCCCAGGGGCCCUCCCUCCACCCGCUUGGGCCCUGCGUCCUGUCUCCACACGGCAACCGCUGGUUUCGUGAUUCCUCCACAAAACGUGAGGCUCCACCGAAGACAGGUGACAGGUGUAUGGAGUAAGAAUGUUCUUCAGUGGGCUUCUGGUUAAUACAUUUUGGCGCAUCCAAAUGAUGGAACAGGAUGCAGCUGUUAAUAAUGAGGGAGCUAUGUCUGUGCUGAGGUUUCUAGGGUCUGAAAAAUCAAACUGCAGAAUCACGUAUGCAGGACAGUAUCUUUUGUGUGAAGGUCACAAUGUAGGCUAUGAGGGUAUCUAUGCGAGCGUGUGUGAUGUGUAUGCGUGUAUGUGGAUGAGCUCCCCCGUCCAUACAACAUAACGUGAAAGGUUUCCAAGUGAAAAACCAAGUUAAAAUCAAGUCUUAAACGUUGCAAAAUAAUAUCUAUAAAAUGAGAAAUAAAAAGUGACAUAGGUGCAUGGAUCCAUGUACUACAUAUGACAUCAGUGCCUAGAAAGGGGCCUUGCAAGUGGUGGGCAGUGUGGCCUCUGGGGAGGAAAGUGGCCGUGGGAGGGAUGGUGCCGGGUUUCAGCAUUGCUCUGUAGUCUUCUAUAGUAUUUGAAACAAAUGAAACACUGUAUUCAUGUCUUACUUAUGUAAGAAAAAAAAAAAAAAGAAACAGGGGCACCUGGGUGGCUCAGUGGUUCAGCAUCUGCCUUUGGCUCAGGGCGUGAUCCUGGAGUCCCGGGGUCGAGUCCCACCUCAGGCUACCUGCAUGGAGCCUGCUUCUCCCUCUGCCUCUCUCAAUCUCUCUCCUCUCUCUCUCUCUGUGUGUGUGUGUGUGUGUGUGUGUGUGAGUGACUCAGGAAUAACUAAAUAAAAUCUUAAAAAAAAAAAAAAGAGAAGAAAUAAUAAGGACCAAAAAUGAAAGUUGCAUAGUCACUCUCAAUACCCUCCUGGGAACCCAGAGACCCAGAAGGUGGUAGUACAGACAUGAGGGGACACAGCCCACAUUUAGUAACCCUGCCUCUGCUGGGAGCUGACCGACAGAGGGGCCUAACGGACAGAGGGAAUGGCCCAGGCCCAAGUCCCCCACUUCGCAGCCACGGGGCUAGCAGGCUGGGCCAGAGAGUCUCUGUCAAUCAGUGGGUGAGGGUGACUGGGGGCUCCGCUUCCGAUACCUGUUACUGCGGGGUGACCCAGGAGCAGGAAGAGCCCUGACGCUAAAAGGGGACAUUGGCAUCCAAAUGUGUUGGUCUAGGGGCACCUGGUGGCUCAGUCAGUUAAGCAUCUGCCUCGGGCUCAGAUCAUGAUCUCAGGGUCCUGGGAUUGAGCCCCAAGUAGGCCUCCCCGCUCAGUGGGAGUCUGCUUCUCCCUCUGCUUCUGUCCUCCUCCCUCUCUCAACUACAUUAAUAAAAUCUUUAAAAAAUAAUAAUAAACGUAUUUUUCUG
Molecule: long non-coding RNA, 4079 nt
Filed under: Canis lupus familiaris (dog)
Lineage: Eukaryota; Metazoa; Chordata; Mammalia; Carnivora; Canidae
Description: lncRNA (ENSCAFG00000054049.1)
Source: RNAcentral